Molecule: long non-coding RNA, 3265 nt
Organism: Papaver somniferum (opium poppy)
Lineage: Eukaryota; Viridiplantae; Streptophyta; Magnoliopsida; Ranunculales; Papaveraceae
Exons: 8
Source: RefSeq, a predicted model, not a curated record
UUACUCCGUUUCACUUUUGAUCGAAGGUGAGAAAAAUAAGAUUUUUCCUCGCAAAAUAAAGAAAUUUGUUUAUUUAUCCCGGAAAAAGAAAACGAAAAAAAAUCGAAAGAAACAAAAAAACUCUUCUUCUUCCUUCUUCACCCCUAUUCACCGCAAAAAAGAAUUCUCUUUUCUUCUCCGUCAUUUCUUCUUCUCGAUUCUCUCUGUUUUUUCUGCUAUUGGUUUUAUUGUGCAGGUGCGGUUUUUGAAGAAGAGAUAAAUAACUAAAUCCAGUUCUGUAUUGGUAAACCCUAACUCUUGAGAAGCUGAAAUAUAACCCUAACCCUAACUAAAUAUGUGGAAUCGGAGUUGAAAUUGAUAUGGGUUUGUUGAGAUAAGGGUUAUGGAGAACUAAGAUUGAUGAUUAAGUUAAGAGAACUGAAGAAUUUCAGAAACUAGGGCUUGGUUUUGGGAAGAGCAGCUGAAACUGAUUCUUAUUAAUUCGUUUCCUAGCCCUGAUCUUCAAACGACUUCAACAAAUAAAGAUGUGCAAGAGCAUCAUCCUUCUGACAUUUUAUAUCGAUUUGAUUUCUUUUAAUUUUUCUUUGUACUCCUUUCUGUGAAAACCCUGUCUUAACUCUAUGCCAGGUAUUUGCCAUUGAUUUUUUCCAGACCACAGGAUUUGGAAGUGCAAAUAGACCUUUUUUUCGAUGAUUACACAAAUUAUUCAGGAUGUAGGUGGUGAUGAGUGACGCAGCUGGAUGUCAUGGCACCAUUAACAUGGAUAUGAUCUUUAAGAUGAUGGACUGAAUAAGAUAUGGUUCGGUUUAGUUGUUGUUUGGUUUUCAAGCCACAGCAAAAGCCCCUUCCCGCGGUUCACAGCUACCACCAUCAGCAACACAACACCUUCUUAGGCUAAUACCACCAGUACCUUGCAUUCGCAACACCAUCCAUCACAUGCAGCUGCGUAUCCUUUUGUUGUAUUUUUUGUGCAGGUGCACAAAUUGAAGAAACGAUAUCGAGAAUCCAGUGAGAACAUAGAUAUUGAUGAACUUCAGCUUUCUCUUUCCCUGUUGCCUUUCAAUCUGGAAUGGAUGUGAACUAAAACCCGAUGAGACAACAUAGACGUGUUAAAGUAAAGAAGAAGAAAUAAUCUAAACUUGCUAGAGAAUGGUGGAGGGAAGCGAAUUCUACUGGUGGUAGUUAGGAGGAUGAGAUAAUUGGUGCAGAGAUGAAGGUAUGAAUGUUGGUAUUAAAAAGAAGAAGAAAAUGGGUUGGAGUAGAAAGUAGUACAGGGAGAUGGAAGUAUUAGUCGAGAUUGGGCAAGUGGAUUAAUCCAUAAAAGUGGCUUGAGGGGGAUUUUGCCGGAAUACAUUUUGGAUUGUCGAUGGAGUUCAACAUUAAGGCAUUCUUGACUAUUUAUUUGGUAUCAUUGGUUUUACAGUUCUUCCGAUGAAUAUUGCUUUGGCGCCUUGAUAUACGUAUUAGAGGCUGUGAAUGUAAAGGAUUUUAUUAGUCUGUAUCACCUGCUAUUUGGUGGGCAGGCACUAAGAAACUUUUCUAUAUUUGGAUUUGUAUGAUUUGGUUCAUGUUUUCGCAGUUACGGUCUAUGACUCAUUUUUUGCUGGUGUUAUUUUUACCUUGGCUACUGCUGAUAAUCCCGGCUUCUUAAUUUUUCAUGGACAUUAGAGUUGUCAGUAGUUGCGAGUGCAAGUUGAAUCAAUGGCAACAUCGUGUUCGGGAUCAGGAUGUGAGGUGACGAUAAAAUUUCAGGUUGAGACUGAGUUGGAGUGUGAGAAUCAAGAUACUAUGUGAUUCUGGAAACUUCGGUUUUGGGCGUGACUUCCUGGUGCAUAAGAGUUUCCAGUAUUACAUCGCUUCUUGGUUGCUCAUAUUAGAUGAAUACUAAGUCCCCGAGCCUCAUGUUGAAAUGUUUGUCUACCAGGUUUGCCAAUUUGAUUAGAUGUAUGUGUGUUCUCAUGGCGAUGUGAAACUCCCAUUCCAGAGAUAUCAUAACUCCUAAUAUCACUUCCCAUGGAGUAUUGUUCAUGAAAAUUGAGGAAAGAGAAACAGAAGGUGAAAACUUCGACAAUCUGAGAUGAGCAUCCAUACGAAGGUGUCCAUACUAAGGUCAUCAAAGACAAUGAUAGGGAAGAGAAGUAAUUUAGGAAAAUUUCUUCUCCUUGACAUCUGGAGAAGAAUGACAAACCAGUUGAUCUAAGGUGUCCAAGGGAUGGAUUAUGUGCCUGAGCUGGUGAUUUAAAUGAUGCACUUGCAUUUUUGUUCACUUAAUCUUUUGAUCUCCGUGAAAGGUAUGUGCUAACUCUUUUAAUGCAGAUGGAUAAUGCUUUAAUUGAUGAUCGGUGGAUCAGUCAGACUGUUUCUAAGCUGUGGUCUCAAUACAGGCGUAAAGAGCAUCAAACUGGUAAAGGUUGAGAUACCACUGCCGACUUUGAUGGUGUUGUAGAUAAUAAAAGUAACAUAGACCUCAUGCAAUGAUUUUUCGUAGGGGGAUGUUGAAUGUGGAUGAGCUUCUGAACCUCCAACUGUUAUCCAUGACAAGUUGAAGGAAGAUUGAACUGAUGCGCUACAAGUAUGGUACUAUAAAUGUUAGGUUAAAUUUUUAUGCGUGUGUUGAUCGAAAUUCUACAGGGAAGGAGCUGUGUUCUAGCAUAAGAAUCAAAUUAAACUCAUCCCAUCAUCACCAGCUUCAGUCUGGACCUAUUGAGCAAUAAAGAUGAACUUAAAAGUGUGUCUGUUACUUAGAAAUAUGAAGUCCUAGAUCUGCCAAGUCUGUUGCUGGACUGGAAUUUUUUCUCAUGUAAUGCAGGAAGCAUUUUGGAGGAAGUAUGAAUGGAAGUUAAUGAAUUUUCUUGAGUUUUGGACAAGUGUUGUAUGUGCAUAGAGUUCUGAACCUGACUUCCGGCCCCGGCUUAUCCCUUUGCUCAAUCACAUUGUUGCUCCUUUGGGUACUUUGAUUCCUGGAUUUUUACUGACGAUGAACAACCAUCUAGAUCAAAGCGUACUACGGAGUCCGGUGAUGAUGUCCACGCGGUUUCUGGAAUUGAUGCACAGUUGCUCAUUAAGAAAUGCACACACUAUGAAAUUUGAAUAACACAUUAGUAGUUUGUUCUUUUCCCUGUUUUUAUAACUUCCGAGGUAGUUCAAUUAGUUAGGACAGCCAAUAUGUUAGAAUGCCAUGUUUCUUAAUGCUUGCACUGUGAAGUGGAACUAUCAUUCAUGUAUUGCAGUCCAAUUAUUCUGCCAGUUCUACAAUGUUAUGCAU